GGCUCCAUAGUGUGUAGUGAUUAGCACAUCUGCUUUACACACAGAAGGUCUUGGGUUUGCACCCCAGGUGGAGCCA
This 76-nucleotide transfer RNA is filed under the name Pteropus alecto (black flying fox). It matches the Rfam family "tRNA". From Rfam's summary of the family: Transfer RNA (tRNA) molecules are approximately 80 nucleotides in length. Their secondary structure includes four short double-helical elements and three loops (D, anti-codon, and T loops). The record is from Rfam by way of RNAcentral. Lineage: Eukaryota; Metazoa; Chordata; Mammalia; Chiroptera; Pteropodidae.